Cygnus olor (mute swan) is the source of this 441-nucleotide long non-coding RNA. RefSeq lists it as uncharacterized. The transcript has 3 exons. Lineage: Eukaryota; Metazoa; Chordata; Aves; Anseriformes; Anatidae. The record is from RefSeq and is a predicted model, not a curated record.
GGAAAAGAAGCCUUCACUCCUUUGAAGUAAAGAAAUGCAAAGCAAGCAUAUAGCCUAAAAGCAUCACAGAGACUCCCAAGCAGAUGGCAGAAGUAUUCCAGAAGAGGUCUUAUACUGUUGACCAGGAAUGCUUAUUGUAGUUCUUUACAUAAUAUGACAAGUAUGCAGUAUAGCAUCGUUACAGAAAGUAAGUGCCCUGUGUAAGGGACUGUUAUUUUUUAAGGGACUGUUAUUUUUCAAGGGACUGUGUGUUUCCACUGUUGUAGAAGAAGAACAGAGAUGGGAAUUGCCACAGGAUAUUUCCAAGAUUCUGAAAGCUACUCCACUGCUUCUAUCAAGAUCUUUAACCAUAAUAAUUCAAAGUUGUUCUCUCUGUGCUUCAGUUAAUAGUGUUCUGUGAUCUGAUGACUGUAUUUCAAAAGAAAACAAUGGAACUCAUAC